Molecule: long non-coding RNA, 541 nt
Filed under: Monodelphis domestica (gray short-tailed opossum)
Lineage: Eukaryota; Metazoa; Chordata; Mammalia; Didelphimorphia; Didelphidae
Description: lncRNA (ENSMODG00000035139.2)
Source: RNAcentral
CUCAAGGCCUGAUCACAUCACAUCCAGACUCCUGCCAAAAUUUUCUCAGCUUCCUGUUAUAUCCUCUCUUCUUCCUCCUCCUAACCCAAUUGGCUCUUCAUGCUGUGCUUAUAAGGAAGAAACUUGAGUACCAGCUACCUGCUGUCUAGGGUGAGCCUUUACUCAGGAUUCCCAAAAUCAAGGGUCCUGCCACUGACUUUAGAAGUAAAUGGAACUUGUUGCCAAAAGAAAACAAGAAGCCAGGGCAAAAGAGAGGCACCCAAGAUGGAAAACUUGGUGUAUCAUCCUUCAUUCUUCUCUCUCCAUCAUAAUCCAUUAUUUAACAAGUCCAUUUGAGAGCAUAUCUCCUCAGCUUAUUUUGAUCUUCAAUGGAAGCAUCCACAUCUUGCUUCCUAAAUAGUUUCCUCUAAUUAUUGAUUUCAUUUCAAGAGAGGAUCAAGGAGAAAAGAAAAAAGGAAAGACUGACUCCUUCAAACUGCUGCCAAUUAUGGCCCACAUUCACUUGAAUUAUUGUUGAUUGUCAUAGAUUUCUACUCACCUG